This is a long non-coding RNA of Thalassophryne amazonica, 180 nucleotides long. RefSeq lists it as uncharacterized. Lineage: Eukaryota; Metazoa; Chordata; Actinopteri; Batrachoidiformes; Batrachoididae. The record is from RefSeq and is a predicted model, not a curated record. The transcript is spliced from 4 exons.
UGCUUUUAAUCAUCCAGCUGGUCUUCUUAGUUGUUGAGAUCUACAAGAAAAAAAUUUGAGACCAUGUUUUCCUUGACCUUUGACCAAACUACUCCAAAAUAUAAUCACCUCUAGAUAUCUAUCCAGGUAAUAUUCCCACCAAGUUUGAUGCAAAUCCAUCCAGCCUUUUUUGAGUAAUCU